RNAcentral lists this ribosomal RNA (498 nucleotides) under uncultured bacterium. RNAcentral describes it as "bacterial SSU rRNA". It matches the Rfam family "Bacterial small subunit ribosomal RNA", at positions 32 to 507 of the family's 1533-position model. The record is from RNAcentral.
AACGACGCUGGCGGCGUGCUUAACACAUGCAAGUCGAACGCGAAAGGGACUUCGGUCCUGAGUAAAGUGGCGCACGGGUGAGUAACGCGUAGAUAACCUGUCUUCACGUCUGGAAUAAUACGCCGAAAGGGGUACUAAUACCGGAUAUUCUUGCUUUUCAUAAGUUUUGCAAGGAAAGGUGGCCUCUGAAUAUGCUACUGCGCGAAGAGGGGUCUGCGUACCAUUAGCUAGUAGGUGGGGUAAUGGCCUACCUAGGCUACGAUGGUUAGCGGGUCUGAGAGGAUGAUCCGCCACACUGGCACUGGAACACGGGCCAGACUCCUACGGGAGGCAGCAGUGAGGAAUAUUGCGCAAUGGGGGAAACCCUGACGCAGCGACGCCGCGUGAGUGAGGAAGGCCUUCGGGUCGUAAAGCUCUGUCAAAGGGAAAGAAGUGCAUGAUGGCUAAUACCUGUCAUGUUUGACGGUACCCUUAAAGGAAGCACCGGCUAACUCCGUG